UCCGUAGGUGAACCUGCGGAAGGAUCAUUAGAAAAAUUAGACUGCGUGCGCGAGCAUGUAAAUCUAUAGACCCCCAACCCUGCGUACUUUUACCACGUUGCUUCCGCGAGCACUCAAAAAAAAAAGUGCCCGCGAAAGGCCAACUUCAAACCAAUUUCAUUUUUACUGCGUCAAAACGUCUGAAAAAAAAAAAAUUAAAAAAUUAAAAAUUAAAACUUUCAACAACGGAUCUCUUGGUUCUCGCAUCGAUGAAGAACGCAGCGAAAUGCGAUAAGUAGUGUGAAUUGCAGAAUUCAGUGAAUCAUCGAAUCUUUGAACGCACAUUGCGCCUCCCGGCAUUCCGGGAGGCAUGCCUGUCCGAGCGUCAUCAAAAAACCUCGAGCUCGCGUUUUGUUGAAUGUACUUUACGUUCAACGGGACAGCGGUGCUUGGUGUUGAGGGAUGAGCCUGGCAUCUCCUGCCACGCUCCCCCUCGAAUUACAGUGGCGGACACCCUCGCGGACCCGGUGUAGUAAAAACUUUAUUCUCACCUUUGCCCGUUGAGGUUGGUGUCCCGCCGAUCGAACCGAACCGUAAAACGUUCACAGACCCCCAAGUUUUUGACCUCGGAUCAGGUAGGGAUACCCGCUGAACUUAAGCAUAUCAAUAAGCGGAGGAAAAGAAACCAACAGGGAUUGCCUCAGUAACUGCGAGUGAAGCGGCAAAAGCUCAAAUUUGAAAUCUGGCGUUUUCUGGCGUCCGAGUUGUAAUUUGGAGGAGCGUCUUCGGGAGCGGCACCGUCCUAAGUUCCUUGGAACAGGACGUCACAGAGGGUGAGAAUCCCGUGCCUGGGCGGUUGUCCGUUCCCAUGCGAAGUGCUUCCGACGAGUCGAGUUGUUUGGGAAUGCAGCUCAAAAUGGGUGGUAAAUUUCAUCUAAAGCUAAAUAUUGGCGAGAGACCGAUAGCGCACAAGUAGAGUGAUCGAAAGAUGAAAAGCACUUUGAGAAGAGAGUUAAAAAGUACGUGAAAUUGUUGAAAGGGAAACGCUUGAAGU
RNAcentral lists this small RNA (1033 nucleotides) under uncultured fungus. RNAcentral's name for it is "eukaryotic LSU rRNA". The stretch from base 601 to 1033 matches the Rfam family "Eukaryotic large subunit ribosomal RNA", at positions 1 to 429 of the family's 3401-position model. Lineage: Eukaryota; Fungi. The record is from RNAcentral.